AGAAUUUCAGGUGUAGCGGUGAAAUGCGUAGAGAUCUGAAGGAAUACCGGUGGCGAAGGCGGCCCCCUGGACAGAUACUGACACUCAGAUGCGAAAGCGUGGGGAGCAAACAGGAUUAGAUACCCUGGUAGUCCACGCCGUAAACGAUGUCUACUUGGAGGUUGUGGCCUUGAGCCGUGGCUUUCGGAGCUAACGCGUUAAGUAGACCGCCUGGGGAGUACGGUCGCAAGAUUAAAACUCAAAUGAAU
RNAcentral lists this ribosomal RNA (248 nucleotides) under Vibrio parahaemolyticus. RNAcentral's name for it is "partial 16S ribosomal RNA". It matches the Rfam family "Bacterial small subunit ribosomal RNA", at positions 663 to 910 of the family's 1533-position model. The record is from RNAcentral. Lineage: Bacteria; Pseudomonadati; Pseudomonadota; Gammaproteobacteria; Vibrionales; Vibrionaceae.